CCUACGGGAGGCUGCAGUGGGGAAUAUUGGACAAUGGGCGAAAGCCUGAUCCAGCCAUGCCGCGUGUGUGAAGAAGGCCUUCGGGUUGUAAAGCACUUUCAGUGGGGAAGAAAGCCUUGGGGCUAAUACCCUCGAGGAAGGACAUCACCCACAGAAGAAGCACCGGCUAACUCCGUGCCAGCAGCCGCGGUAAUACGGAGGGUGCGAGCGUUAAUCGGAAUUACUGGGCGUAAAGCGCGCGUAGGCGGUCUGAUAAGCCGGUUGUGAAAGCCCCGGGCUCAACCUGGGAACGGCAUCCGGAACUGUCAGGCUAGAGUGCAGGAGAGGUAGGUAGAAUUCCGGGUGUAGCGGUGAAAUGCGUAGAGAGCGGGAGGAAUACCAGUGGCGAAGGCGGCCAUCUGGACUAACACUGACGCUGAGGUGCGAAAGCGUGGGUAGCAAACAGGAUUAGAUACCCGGGUAGUC
RNAcentral lists this ribosomal RNA (465 nucleotides) under Vreelandella stevensii. RNAcentral's name for it is "partial 16S ribosomal RNA". It matches the Rfam family "Bacterial small subunit ribosomal RNA", at positions 338 to 795 of the family's 1533-position model. The record is from RNAcentral. Lineage: Bacteria; Pseudomonadati; Pseudomonadota; Gammaproteobacteria; Oceanospirillales; Halomonadaceae.